UGGUUUAUUUUAUGAGUGAAGAGAAUAGAAGAGAAACUCAUAUCAACGUAUUAUUAUAUUUUAUUAAUAAUAAGGAUAAAAUGAUAAUGUUUUAAUUUUAACAAUUAAAAUAUUUUUAAAUUAUUAAACUCCUCAACUUCAUCAUUUUCCUCUCCCAUCUUCAAGUUCAAACACAUCCUUAAUCCAAUCAACUCCACUAUCAUAUCUCUUUCCUCUUAUAUUUACUUAAAUUCACUCUUUCAAAUAUUUCUUUAGAAACAAACAUAGACCUUGUUUUUCAACAAAUUUUCAAUUAUAUUAACAAAAAUCGUUCAUUAUUUUUUAACAAUCACGAUAUUCUCUUAUAUUAUACAUAAAAUCUCAUAUUUUUUAAUUUAUGUAGACAAGUAAACAAGAUAAAAAUUACAGCUACGGCAUCUAGUUAAAAAAAAU
RNAcentral lists this long non-coding RNA (432 nucleotides) under Vigna radiata. RNAcentral's name for it is "long non-coding RNA (VRAD_LNC014390)". Lineage: Eukaryota; Viridiplantae; Streptophyta; Magnoliopsida; Fabales; Fabaceae. The record is from RNAcentral.